Long non-coding RNA from Corvus hawaiiensis (hawaiian crow), 1114 nucleotides. RefSeq lists it as uncharacterized. NCBI's taxonomy places the organism in Eukaryota, Metazoa, Chordata, Aves, Passeriformes, Corvidae. The record is from RefSeq and is a predicted model, not a curated record. The transcript is spliced from 2 exons.
GGAAGUGGCACAGGCUGAGGGGGGUGGCAGGUCUGAGGGGACUCAAUGGGUGUGAAGGGAGUGAGGGGGGUGAGAGGACUUUGAGAGUUUGCAGGAACUGGCAGGACUGGGGGUUUGCUGAGGGGAUGGCAGGGCUGAGGGGAUGGAGGGGGCCAGCAGGGAGCACAGAGGGGUUUGGGCCUGUGGCUCUGCCAGCCCUUGGAACCAAUUCCAGAGCCUCCACUUUUGCCACAGCUGCCCUGAAGACCUUGAGAAGAGCGGGAGAGUGACGAGAACCAGCAGGGAGAAGCGGAAGGCCACAGCAAGAGCAGCGAAUAUGGACCUGCUGCUGCCGCCCGAGACCCUGGGUGUCCCAUCUGCUGUCCCCGUCCAGGAGAGCUGCUCUGCACGGGAGGAAGAGACCGAGGGAGAGCCUGGGAACAUGGGCGGCUGCAAUCCCUCCUGAUUUAAUUCUGUUUAUAGAUGUGUGGAGUAUGACUAAGAGAGUUAGAAGAAUGGGGAUAUUUCCAUCUGUAUAUCUAUUUGUAUGGGUAUAUUGAUGCAUGUAUAUCGAUCUGUUUACAUCUGUAGUUAUAUUUACAUACUUGUUCAGUUGGGUACCUGAAUAGAUCGAUUGAUGGGGUUGGAAUGAUUUUUAUAUUAGUACAUUGAUAUUUGCAUAUUUAUAGCGGAAUUUGAUAUGUGUGUAUUAUAGAUGUCUCGUUAUAUCUCACAUGAAAUAUUUAAUAUAUAUCUACAUCUGUAUGUUUUUAUGAUUUUAUAUGUAUUUACUUAUAUUUCAGUAUGUAUGGAAUUGUAUAGCUCUAGAAUUCUAUUUUUUGAGUUCUGGAUCUGGGAUUCUUUAGAGAGGGAUAUCUGUAUUUCUGUAUUCAUAUAUGGGCCAUACAGUUGUAGAAUUAUGUAAUAAAUUAAAUUGUUAAACUUCAGUUGAUAUUUGUGUGUAGUGAGUGGUAGUAGAGGGUUCCAGUAAAUUAUUUUUUUUUAACUGAAGUGGGUAUUUGUAUCUAUUUACAUAGCAUGAUUGUAACAAUAAAUUAGGUUUGUAAACUUCAGUUGAUAGUUUUAUGUUCAUGUAUUGGCAGUAAUUUAAAAUAAAUGUCAUUUUUAAACUGAA